This is a non-coding RNA of Cyprinus carpio (common carp), 505 nucleotides long. Lineage: Eukaryota; Metazoa; Chordata; Actinopteri; Cypriniformes; Cyprinidae. The record is from the annotation of a RefSeq genome assembly.
GUAUGUCUGUUGUGAGUCAACACAGAGUCCCACAAUUUUUUGGGUGGAGCUUGAUGAGAAUGGAAACAUCAGCGGGAGGCCCUGUUUCCCCAAAUCUUAUUUUGUAAGAUCCUCAACAGUCAUAAUGGUUUUGUUUUACCUCACCGUUUUGACACUUCUUACAGAAAGUGUUUUUUCGAAUGCAAUAACACGCAUCUCUACUGAAAAUCAUGCUUUUGAAGGAGGAAAAGUGAAUAUUUCAUGCAACUACAGUGGAAAUGAUAUAAGAAGUUGGCAGUGGUACAGACAGUAUUCCAACUCUGCCCCUGAAUUUCUCUUACAAGCUUCGGAAACUCUGGGUCCAGAGCAGAAGGACCGUUAUGUUGCUGAAGCACAAAAGGACAAAAAACAUCUGAACCUGGAGAUCUCCAAAACUGAAGUGGCAGAUGCUGCAGUAUACUACUGUGCCCUGGUGCCCACAGUAACAGGAAACCCUUCAACACUGUACAAAAACCUGAGAGGGUGA